UUCUGGCAGGUAAAUCCACCGGAGCAAUCUCGAGACACGAAUAGGAGGGCCUAGCCCGUAAACUGACCAUAAUCCUGCUGCCAAGAAAAGCCUCUAUGUGAGAUUAUGAACUGACCGUACCCUAAACGGACACACGUGGACGAGGAGAGUAUCCUAAGGCGCUUGAGAGAAUCCAGGUUAAGGAACUCGGCAAAUUAACCCCGUAACUUCGGGAGAAGGGGUGCCUUGAUUAGGUGAACACCUUAGCGGUGGAAGCUGAAAGAGGCCGCAGUGACCAGGCCCAAACGACUGUUUACUAAAAACACAGGUCUCUGCUAAAUCGUAAGAUGAAAUAUAGGGACUGACACCUGCCCGGUGCCGGAAGGUUAAGUAGAGGGGUUAUCCCGACACUUGUGUCGGGAGAAGCUCUGAAACGAAGCCCCGGUGAACGGCGGCCGUAACUAUAACGGUCCUAAGGUAGCGAAAUUCCUUGUCGGGUAAGUUCCGACCCGCACGAAUGGUGUAACGACUUGAGUACUGUCUCUACCAGGAGCCCAGCGAAAUUGUAGCGUCGGUGAAGAUGCCGGCUAACCGCGGCAGGACGGAAAGACCCCGUGAACCUUUACUAUAACCUGACAUUGGGUUUUGGUUCUGUAUGUGUAGGAUAGGUGGGAGGCUAUGAAGCUUCGACGCUAGUCGGGGUGGAGCCAACCUUGAAAUACCACCCUUAUAUUGCUGAAAUUCUAAUUCCGACCCUUGAAUCAGGGCGGGAAACAGUGUCAGGCGGGUAGUUUGACUGGGGCGGUCUCCUCCUAAAAUGUAACGGAGGAGCCCAAAGGUUCCCUCAGCACGGACGGUAAUCGUGCAAAGAGUGCAAAGGCAUAAGGGAGCUUAACUGCAAGGCCGACAGGCCGAGCAGGUGCGAAAGCAGGGCUUAGUGAUCCGGUGGUCCCGAAUGGAAGGGCCAUCGCUCAUCGGAUAAAAGGUACUCCGGGGAUAACAGGCAGACAGUUCGGUCCCUAUCCGCCGUGGUCGCAGGAAACUUGAGGGAUGCUGUUCCUAGUACGAGAGGACCGGAACGGACGAACCUCUGGUGCACCAGUUGUCUCAUCAGAGGCACCGCUGGGUAGCUACGUUCGGAUGGGAUAAGCGCUGAAAGCAUAUAAGCGCGAAACCCUUCCCAAGAUUAGGUUUCCCUUCCCGAUUUCGAUCGGGAGUGAAGGUCCCCUGUAGACUACAGGGUUGAUAGGUCACAGGUGUAAGGUCAGUAAUGGCUUCAGCCGAGUGAUACUAAUUGAUCGUCAGGCUUUACCAA
RNAcentral lists this ribosomal RNA (1294 nucleotides) under Fidelibacterota bacterium REDSEA-S15_B10. Its description in RNAcentral is "bacterial LSU rRNA". It matches the Rfam family "Bacterial large subunit ribosomal RNA", at positions 1527 to 2925 of the family's 2925-position model. The record is from RNAcentral. Lineage: Bacteria; Pseudomonadati; Fidelibacterota.